UGCGUAGGCGGAUAAAUAAGUCAGUGGUGAAAUCUUUCGGCUCAACCGGGAAACUGCCAUUGAUACUGUUUAUCUUGAGUUCGGUAGAGGUAGGCGGAAUGUGUAAUGUAGCGGUGAAAUGCUUAGAUAUUACACAGAACACCAAUUGCGUAGGCAGCUUACUAUGCCGACACUAACGCUGAGGCACGAAAGCGUGGGGAGCGAACAGGAUUAGAUACCCUGGUAGUCC
RNAcentral lists this ribosomal RNA (229 nucleotides) under uncultured bacterium. RNAcentral's name for it is "partial 16S ribosomal RNA". It matches the Rfam family "Bacterial small subunit ribosomal RNA", at positions 568 to 796 of the family's 1533-position model. The record is from RNAcentral.